UCUGUGUGACGACCACAACGCAGUCCUUCCCUCUGACCGCUACAGAGGUCAGUCCUCCCUGGUUGAUGGCUUUGAAGGCAUACUCUGAGGAAAGAUUAAAACAGCAACAGCACCUUACUUUAAACUGUUCACUUCUAUGGGCAACGUUUGCUGGUGGCCUCUCUGCCACUUGAAGAAGAGGCGUCUGGUGGCUCCGUCUGGCAGGCAAGCCUUGUGGUCCCUCAUCAGGUCCCUACUCACAAACCGGCAGUGAUUCCCAGAAUGCAAAGCGGCGUACAGCAGGAAGGGGUCAUCCUCGGAACUGACAGACGCAGACAGGCAGGUGUGAGGGUCUCUGGAGCUCAGCCAGAAUGACCGUCGGGUUUCGUGGUCACCUCUCUUACCAAGGCCCUUCUCCCCAGAUCCCUGAAGAAUUUUUUUCCUUUGCCUUCCCCAGAUCUGUGCCUUGACGCAGUCCUGUCUGAGCUCUGCAGGCAGCUCCUUCCACCUCAUGGUUUGGUUUUUGCUCCUAUAUGCACAGUCCGCCAUGAGACCUCAUGUAGACAAGCGCAUGCCUUUACAAAUCGUGUCCAAAUAAACUGGAUUUUUUUUAACAGGUGGACUCAAGAGAAAGGCACCUGAGCUAAAUGUCAUACAUGUCAUAACAAAGGCUCUGAAUACUCAUGUCAAUGUCAUAUUUCAGUUUUUCCUUUUUAAUAUAGUUGCAUCAUAUUUUAGCAUAAAGCUGUAAAAUAACAAAAAGUGAAAAAAGUGAAGGGAAAAAGCACAAGACUCUUGUGGGACAUUUGGGUUUUACUUCUGUUCUUAUUUAGGGAUCUGAAGCUUGUAACUGUGCUGAAAUGAGUUCUAUUAGCCCGACACACGAAGCUCCUGCAGUCAGAAAAACAUACUGCAUGCUUGUUGUUUCAUUAAACUUUCAUUAAACAGUGUGGAACCCAAAAAACCCAAACCCAAAGGCAGUUGUCGGGGGGGGGGGGGGGGUACGCAAUGUAAUACAAUUCAGCUCAUCAAAAGUACAACCUCUGUGAAACUUAGGAUGUUCUUUUGGGGUUUUUUUUACCAGAAACUUUAAUAUAAUUCACUAUCAUACACCAGUGGUGGACACAUAAGGUCCACUUUAUAAUAUAAUAUAUAUAACGGCUGCUAGUUUGUAUUCAGUUCCACAGGGUGAUUCGGUAUAGAGUCAAAAUGCAGGUCUACUCGGCUCAAACCUUCAGUGUUUGACUUCAUCUCUGUCUGCUUUGUUCUUCAUCUCACCAUCUAUCUACACAUCUAUCUGGGCUUAAAAAUGAUUCAUGCUUUCCUGCUUGCUGUGACAACCGCACUAAUCACCAAAUACAGACAGAAAGACACUAAUUCGCUUUCUAUUUGAAUUGAUGCCCUCCCUCUCUUCCUCCAACUGUCUCUGUCCCUCGGUGCAUCUAUUGCUUCACUGUUGUCUGAAGCCCUCUGUUUGCCCUUAAAAUGAAUUGCCUUGA
Toxotes jaculatrix (banded archerfish) is the source of this 1478-nucleotide long non-coding RNA. RefSeq lists it as uncharacterized. Lineage: Eukaryota; Metazoa; Chordata; Actinopteri; Toxotidae. The record is from RefSeq and is a predicted model, not a curated record. The transcript has 3 exons.